AGCUGGGGCGGUGAUCAGAUGGACCAAGAGGGUACAAGGUGAAGUAGCAAUGCCUCUCACAGAACUGGCUGUGGGACAAGUUUCGUUCACAGAUCUCUGGAGUAGAGCUGAGGAGAAGACAAGCGUGUGGGAGGAAGAAGUUGAAACCACACUGCUGUUUAUACUUCCUAAUCUAAACCUGAGAUUUACGAUGAGGAAAAGGAGGCUUGAUGAGGGAAGCUAAACAGUCGCCGGCAGCCAACGGACUGAAGACUGGAGGAGCUGGGAGUCAAAUCAGCUGGCUUCUGGCAUCCAUCAUCCUGGGGGAAGAUCGUGAUAUUUAAGAGAAGAAAUGUAAAAGGAAAGAACAAGUUAAUAUUCCUCCUCUGACAGGCAAAAUAAAAUGAUCCAGAAAGAAAAUAACCUCGCAAGCCAGGUGUUCUCUUGAAAGAGGAUUGAUUUCUACCUUCCUUUAAUCUUCCUUUAACUUUUCAACAAUUUGGCCCAAUUGACUCAGCUUAUGGAAUUUUCCCAGUGUGUACAAAAAAACACUGCUGUGCUCCAUUAAGCCAUCUCCAAGAGGCUAGAAUAAAAGACGAGGGCAUGAUGUAUUGGUGAGAGAUAGCUGACCUUUGGGGUCCUAUGAGAUAGUGAGAAGGAGAAAGAAAGAGGAAGGAGGAAUGAGGAGUUUAGAGAUCAAUUUAGAUUGGGCGUUCUCCUAGCUUGGCCCAGAAAGUGGGGAGGCACAUGGGAUAAGUGGCGCUGUCACCAAGGGCAGAUCAUCAUCCUGGGGUGUGACCACAUCCACAUGGCAGUGUGCUAUGGCUAGAAAGAGGGAGGCUACAAAGCUUAGCUUUCCUGACCUAUACUUAUUUCCAGUGAAAAUGGUGGGAAUUUGUUUGGGGAAUAUUGCCAAUGGGAGUCACCAUGGCUGGACAGGGUUAAGGUGCUCUGGAUAAGGACCACAUGCCAAACCACCUGGGCCAGGCAAAAUUAGAGUCAUAACAAAAGAGAGAGAGUCUCAAACUAACAGAAGAGUCUAAAUUACCAGGGAGGGCUGGUGUGAGGCAGAGCCAUCCAGGCAAUCCCAUGGCCCUGACCAGUGGAGGAAAGCCUGGUCUAUAAGUUCCUCUACUUAAUACAGACAUAAACUUCAGUUGCGAACCCCAGCAGGUAGACCAGGGACCAUGCAACUGAGCCAGAAGAGCCAGAGUAGCCAGAGGAAUGAAUUGUUACCUUCCAUGAUGUCAUUUAAGCCCCACCUAUCUCCCUCACACCCAGGUGCCAUCUUGGAGAGGAGCCAGGCAGGGAGCCAGAAUGGUAUGUUGGAGAGACUCACCCUUUUUCCCUCCAGAAAAUAAACAUUCUUUGAAGCGAUUGUUUAUAUUAUUGUGUUAUACUAUAGUUCAAACAUGACUAGACAUGGAAGUAAUCAGGUCAUCCUUUUGAAUGGCUUUUGGCUAUGUCCAAAAAAUCAACCACUCUCAGAGGGCAAAGAUUAGCCAUUAUUGAAAGGCUUCUAAAAAUAUUCUAGUUGAUAAAUACAUGUCAAAAAAGUUAACCUCACUAAUUGUUCACUCAAAUGUAAACUAAAAGCACUACCCCAUACUUUCUUUUUUGAGGUCAGUAAACAUUGGAAAAAAAUACAAAAACUAUAUGAGACAGGAGGAAAA
This is a long non-coding RNA of Phyllostomus discolor (pale spear-nosed bat), 1652 nucleotides long. RefSeq lists it as uncharacterized. The transcript has 3 exons. The record is from RefSeq and is a predicted model, not a curated record. NCBI's taxonomy places the organism in Eukaryota, Metazoa, Chordata, Mammalia, Chiroptera, Phyllostomidae.